GCAGCCUGAUGCAGCGACGCCGCGUGAGGGAUGACGGCCUAUCGGGUUGUAAACCUCUUUCAGUAGGGAAGAAGCGUAAGUGACGGUACCUGCAGAAAAAGCGCCGGCUAACUACGUGCCAGCAGCCGCGGUAAUACGUAGGGCGCAAGCGUUAUCCGGAAUUAUUGGGCGUAAAGAGCUCGUAGGCGGUUUGUCGCGUCUGCCGUGAAAGUCCGGGGCUCAACUCCGGAUCUGCGGUGGGUACGGGCAGACUAGAGUGAUGUAGGGGAGACUGGAAUUCCUGGUGUAGCGGUGAAAUGCGCAGAUAUCAGGAGGAACACCGAUGGCGAAGGCGGGUCUCUGGGCAUUAACUGACGCUGAGGAGCGAAAGCAUGGGGAGCGAACAGGAUUAGAUACCCUGGUAGUCCAUGCCGUAAACGUUGGGCACUAGGUGUGGGGGACAUUCCACGUUUUCCGCGCCGUAGCUAACGCAUUAAGUGCCCCGCCUGGGGAGUACGGCCGCAAGGCUAAAACUCAAAGGAAUUGACGGGGGCCCGCACAAGCGGCGGAGCAUGCGGAUUAAUUCGAUGCAACGCGAAGAACCUUACCAAGGCUUGACAUGAACCGGAGAGAUCUGGAAACAGGUCCCCCACUUGU
This 636-nucleotide ribosomal RNA is filed under the name Arthrobacter sp. Se2Pt_446. RNAcentral describes it as "bacterial SSU rRNA". It matches the Rfam family "Bacterial small subunit ribosomal RNA", at positions 378 to 1022 of the family's 1533-position model. The record is from RNAcentral. Lineage: Bacteria; Bacillati; Actinomycetota; Actinomycetes; Micrococcales; Micrococcaceae.